RNAcentral lists this ribosomal RNA (424 nucleotides) under uncultured cyanobacterium. Its description in RNAcentral is "bacterial SSU rRNA". It matches the Rfam family "Bacterial small subunit ribosomal RNA", at positions 355 to 795 of the family's 1533-position model. The record is from RNAcentral. Lineage: Bacteria; Bacillati; Cyanobacteriota.
UGGGGAAUUUUCCGCAAUGGGCGCAAGCCUGACGGAGCAAUACCGCGUGAGGGAUGAAGGCUCUUGGGUCGUAAACCUCUUUUCUCAGGGAAGAAACCUGACGGUACCUGAGGAAUAAGCAUCGGCUAACUCCGUGCCAGCAGCCGCGGUAAGACGGAGGAUGCAAGCGUUAUCCGGAAUUAUUGGGCGUAAAGCGUCCGCAGGUGGUUUUUCAAGUCUGUUUUCAAAGAGCGAGGCUUAACCUUGUAAAGGGGAUGGAAACUGAAAGACUAGAGUUCGGUAGGGGUAGAGGGAAUUCCAGGUGUAGCGGUGAAAUGCGUAGAUAUCUGGAAGAACACCAGUGGCGAAAGCGCUCUACUGGGCCUGAACUGACACUGAGGGACGAAAGCUAGGGGAGCGAAAGGGAUUAGAUACCCCUGUAGUC